AACGGGUGAGUAAUACAUCGGAACGUGCCCAAUCGUGGGGGAUAACGCAGCGAAAGCUGUGCUAAUACCGCAUACGAUCUACGGAUGAAAGCAGGGGAUCGCAAGACCUUGCGCGAAUGGAGCGGCCGAUGGCAGAUUAGGUAGUUGGUGAGGUAAAGGCUCACCAAGCCUUCGAUCUGUAGCUGGUCUGAGAGGACGACCAGCCACACUGGGACUGAGACACGGCCCAGACUCCUACGGGAGGCAGCAGUGGGGAAUUUUGGACAAUGGGCGAAAGCCUGAUCCAGCCAUGCCGCGUGCAGGAUGAAGGCCUUCGGGUUGUAAACUGCUUUUGUACGGAACGAAACGGCCUUUUCUAAUAAAGAGGGCUAAUGACGGUACCGUAAGAAUAAGCACCGGCUAACUACGUGCCAGCAGCCGCGGUAAUACGUAGGGUGCAAGCGUUAAUCGGAAUUACUGGGCGUAAAGCGUGCGCAGGCGGUUAUGUAAGACAGUUGUGAAAUCCCCGGGCUCAACCUGGGAACUGCAUCUGUGACUGCAUAGCUAGAGUACGGUAGAGGGGGAUGGAAUUCCGCGUG
Molecule: ribosomal RNA, 578 nt
Filed under: uncultured Variovorax sp.
Lineage: Bacteria; Pseudomonadati; Pseudomonadota; Betaproteobacteria; Burkholderiales; Comamonadaceae
Description: bacterial SSU rRNA
Rfam family: Bacterial small subunit ribosomal RNA
Source: RNAcentral